Dermacentor andersoni is the source of this 635-nucleotide non-coding RNA. Lineage: Eukaryota; Metazoa; Arthropoda; Arachnida; Ixodida; Ixodidae. The record is from RefSeq and is a predicted model, not a curated record.
AUUGGAUCCCGCGUGUGCUCUUGCCAACAUGAAAUCUAGCAUGAAGAUCUCCGUGUGCUUUUUUGUAACCAUUUUCGGCCUGCAGAUUAGCGCCAAUGAACUGCCCGAGAUCUGCACAAGUCCACGCAUGCUGCCAACGUGCACAGGUAACCUCUUUAGGGUCUAUUACUACGAUUCGGAGACUGAACAGUGCCUACCUGAAGAUACUUGCGUUGCUGGAGACAGCUUCAAGACAUUAAGAGAGUGCCAAGAAACAUGUGUCAAAAAAAAAGGAAAGAAUGUCCCUGUUGUCAAAGCAAUGCCGUUGUUUCUACAUAAGAACUUUCAUGCCAAACCUCCAAGCUAUGAAGGUUUCUACACGCAUCCAUACAUAAACCCCUAUAUAUCAUGGCCGGCCCCUGUAAGGUAUCCGUUCUUCUAUUGAGCAGUCUUUACCGCAUCAAAAGACCACAUAUAAGCUGCCACGGACCUCGGACACCGGAGGCGGUGCGGACACCAUCGCAAUUCGAAACGGCUUUUGAAUGAGUAUAUAACAGCUUACGGUGUAAAAGGAAGCUGCAUUACUUGGAAAACUUCCACCAACAAUGAAUUCUUCCGAAGUGCUGUCACUGCUAACGCAGCUUGGACUUACUCGC